Molecule: unclassified non-coding RNA, 733 nt
Filed under: Hevea brasiliensis (rubber tree)
Lineage: Eukaryota; Viridiplantae; Streptophyta; Magnoliopsida; Malpighiales; Euphorbiaceae
Source: RNAcentral
AGCUAUAAAACCGAAGUAUAUUGCAUAGUGAAAGGAGAAGACGAAAACAUCCAACAACGUAACAUAGUUGGUACAACAACGUAUAAGCAUAUCCUGAGCCACAUUGCGUUACCCUUAAGCAAUACAAAACUCCAAAUACUUAAUACACACAAGAAAACAACCAUCUCCUUUAUUUAUUUAGUGGCUACUUCUUGUCUAAUAAUGUCUUUAUGCCCAAAACCACAACAACAAUGCCUCCAGCACUCUACAACCCGUGGGGCUUCUCCGAAUCCUCCAGACUUGUUGGUCGGAACCAAGCCUUUUCCUCCUCCACACCAGAGUAAUGGCCACCAUCUGCUGCACGGUUGCCCGCGUCUGCAGCAGGGUUCUCAGUGGCUGGCCCAAAAACCCCGGUUUGUGGAUGAGGAGCCCAGUAUUUAUCUGCAGCUUGAGCCUGAAUCACAUCAUCUGGGACUACACUUGGUCGAACUUGCUCGUCCAGGUUCUUGUCAUACACUGAGGUGUGAGCUGCUCUCCUGAACUUCGGAGCAGAGGAAGAGAUCACAGAGUUGCGAAGUGGAUCGCUGUUCCAGAUCUGGUCAGUGAUUCGUUUCCCCAAGCCGGCGAUCGCUCCUGCGCUCCUCGAAUUAGCGGCCAUACAAUUCAGGCUUAAAGAUAGAGAGGGAGAAAAACGAAAGAACCAGAAAAACUGCGCCUAAGCAGAGAGAGAGAGAUGAAGAAGAAGAAGAAGAAG